GAAGGUCACGGCGAGACGAGCCGUUUAUUAUUACGAUAGGUGUCAAGUNGAAG
Molecule: ribosomal RNA, 53 nt
Filed under: Viviania marifolia
Lineage: Eukaryota; Viridiplantae; Streptophyta; Magnoliopsida; Geraniales; Francoaceae
Description: 4.5S ribosomal RNA
Source: RNAcentral